GGAAAGGCGCGCGAUACAGGGUGACAGCCCCGUACACAAAAAUGCACAUGCUGUGAGCUCGAUGAGUAGGGCGGGACACGUGGUAUCCUGUCUGAAUAUGGGGGGACCAUCCUCCAAGGCUAAAUACUCCUGACUGACCGAUAGUGAACCAGUACCGUGAGGGAAAGGCGAAAAGAACCCCGGCGAGGGGAGUGAAAAAGAACCUGAAACCGUGUACGUACAAGCAGUGGGAGCACAGAGCAAUCUGUGUGACUGCGUACCUUUUGUAUAAUGGGUCAGCGACUUAUAUUCUGUAGCAAGGUUAACCGAAUAGGGGAGCCGAAGGGAAACCGAGUCUUAACUGGGCGUUAAGUUGCAGGGUAUAGACCCGAAACCCGGUGAUCUAGCCAUGGGCAGGUUGAAGGUUGGGUAACACUAACUGGAGGACCGAACCGACUAAUGUUGAAAAAUUAGCGGAUGACUUGUGGCUGGGGGUGAAAGGCCAAUCAAACCGGGAGAUAGCUGGUUCUCCCCGAAAGCUAUUUAGGUAGCGCCUCGUGAAUUCAUCUCCGGGGGUAGAGCACUGUUUCGGCAAGGGGGUCAUCCCGACUUACCAACCCGAUGCAAACUGCGAAUACCGGAGAAUGUUAUCACGGGAGACACACGGCGGGUGCUAACGUCCGUCGUGAAGAGGGAAACAACCCAGACCGCCAGCUAAGGUCCCAAAGUCAUGGUUAAGUGGGAAACGAUGUGGGAAGGCCCAGACAGCCAGGAUGUUGGCUUAGAAGCAGCCAUCAUUUAAAGAAAGCGUAAUAGCUCACUGGUCGAGUCGGCCUGCGCGGAAGAUGUAACGGGGCUAAACCAUGCACCGAAGCUGCGGCAGCGACGCUGAUGCGUUGUUGGGUAGGGGAGCGUUCUGUAAGCCUGUGAAGGUGUGCUGUGAGGCAUGCUGGAGGUAUCAGAAGUGCGAAUGCUGACAUAAGUAACGAUAAAGCGGGUGAAAAGCCCGCUCGCCGGAAGACCAAGGGUUCCUGUCCAACGUUAAUCGGGGCAGGGUGAGUCGACCCCUAAGGCGAGGCCGAAAGGCGUAGUCGAUGGGAAACAGGUUAAUAUUCCUGUACUUGGUGUUACUGCGAAGGGGGGACGGAGAAGGCUAUGUUGGCCGGGCGACGGUUGUCCCGGUUUAAGCGUGUAGGCUGGUUUUCCAGGCAAAUCCGGAAAACUAAGGCUGAGGCGUGAUGACGAGGCACUACGGUGCUGAAGCAACAAAUGCCCUGCUUCCAGGAAAAGCCUCUAAGCAUCAGGUAACAUCAAAUCGUACCCCAAACCGACACAGGUGGUCAGGUAGAGAAUACCAAGGCGCUUGAGAGAACUCGGGUGAAGGAACUAGGCAAAAUGGUGCCGUAACUUCGGGAGAAGGCACGCUGAUAUGUAGGUGAAGUCCCUCGCGGAUGGAGCUGAAAUCAGUCGAAGAUACCAGCUGGCUGCAACUGUUUAUUAAAAACACAGCACUGUGCAAACACGAAAGUGGACGUAUACGGUGUGACGCCUGCCCGGUGCCGGAAGGUUAAUUGAUGGGGUCAGCGCAAGCGAAGCUCUUGAUCGAAGCCCCGGUAAACGGCGGCCGUAACUAUAACGGUCCUAAGGUAGCGAAAUUCCUUGUCGGGUAAGUUCCGACCUGCACGAAUGGCGUAAUGAUGGCCAGGCUGUCUCCACCCGAGACUCAGUGAAAUUGAACUCGCUGUGAAGAUGCAGUGUACCCGCGGCAAGACGGAAAGACCCCGUGAACCUUUACUAUAGCUUGACACUGAACAUUGAGCCUUGAUGUGUAGGAUAGGUGGGAGGCUUUGAAGUGUGGACGCCAGUCUGCAUGGAGCCGACCUUGAAAUACCACCCUUUAAUGUUUGAUGUUCUAACGUUGACCCGUAAUCCGGGUUGCGGACAGUGUCUGGUGGGUAGUUUGACUGGGGCGGUCUCCUCCUAAAGAGUAACGGAGGAGCACGAAGGUUGGCUAAUCCUGGUCGGACAUCAGGAGGUUAGUGCAAUGGCAUAAGCCAGCUUGACUGCGAGCGUGACGGCGCGAGCAGGUGCGAAAGCAGGUCAUAGUGAUCCGGUGGUUCUGAAUGGAAGGGCCAUCGCUCAACGGAUAAAAGGUACUCCGGGGAUAACAGGCUGAUACCGCCCAAGAGUUCAUAUCGACGGCGGUGUUUGGCACCUCGAUGUCGGCUCAUCACAUCCUGGGGCUGAAGUAGGUCCCAAGGGUAUGGCUGUUCGCCAUUUAAAGUGGUACGCGAGCUGGGUUUAGAACGUCGUGAGACAGUUCGGUCCCUAUCUGCCGUGGGCGCUGGAGAACUGAGGGGGGCUGCUCCUAGUACGAGAGGACCGGAGUGGACGCAUCACUGGUGUUCGGGUUGUCAUGCCAAUGGCACUGCCCGGUAGCUAAAUGCGGAAGAGAUA
RNAcentral lists this ribosomal RNA (2436 nucleotides) under Escherichia coli. RNAcentral describes it as "partial 23S ribosomal RNA". It matches the Rfam family "Bacterial large subunit ribosomal RNA", at positions 344 to 2766 of the family's 2925-position model. The record is from RNAcentral. Lineage: Bacteria; Pseudomonadati; Pseudomonadota; Gammaproteobacteria; Enterobacterales; Enterobacteriaceae.